Molecule: microRNA precursor, 59 nt
Filed under: Homo sapiens (human)
Lineage: Eukaryota; Metazoa; Chordata; Mammalia; Primates; Hominidae
Also listed under: 1 other name
Description: Hsa-Mir-338-P2_pre stem-loop
Rfam family: mir-338 microRNA precursor family
Source: RNAcentral
AACAAUAUCCUGGUGCUGAGUGAUGACUCAGGCGACUCCAGCAUCAGUGAUUUUGUUGA